Molecule: ribosomal RNA, 231 nt
Filed under: uncultured bacterium
Lineage: Bacteria
Description: partial 16S ribosomal RNA
Rfam family: Bacterial small subunit ribosomal RNA
Source: RNAcentral
CGGCGGGUGAGUAAUGUCUGGGAAACUGCCCGAUGGAGGGGGAUAACUACUGGAAACGGUAGCUAAUACCGCAUAACGUCGCAAGACCAAAGAGGGGGACCUUCGGGCCUCUUGCCAUCGGAUGUGCCCAGAUGGGAUUAGCUAGUAGGUGGGGUAACGGCUCACCUAGGCGACGAUCCCUAGCUGGUCUGAGAGGAUGACCAGCCACACUGGAACUGAGACACGGUCCAG